CCACCAGUGGAAUUGCGUUAGUAACGGCGAGUGAGCGGCAAAAGCUCAAAUUUGAAAUCUGGCACCUUCGGUGUCCGAGUUGUAAUUUGAAGAAGGUAACUUUGGAGUUGGCUCUUGUCUAUGUUCCUUGGAACAGGACGUCACAGAGGGUGAGAAUCCCGUGCGAUGAGAUGCCCAAUUCUAUGUAAAGUGCUUUCGAAGAGUCGAGUUGUUUGGGAAUGCAGCUCUAAGUGGGUGGUAAAUUCCAUCUAAAGCUAAAUAUUGGCGAGAGACCGAUAGCGAACAAGUACAGUGAUGGAAAGAUGAAAAGAACUUUGAAAAGAGAGUGAAAAAGUACGUGAAAUUGUUGAAAGGGAAGGGCUUGAGAUCAGACUUGGUAUUUUGCGAUCCUUUCCUUCUUGGUUGGGUUCCUCGCAGCUUACUGGGCCAGCAUCGGUUUGGAUGGUAGGAUAAUGACUAAGGAAUGUGGCUCUACUUCGGUGGAGUGUUAUAGCCUUGGUUGAUACUGCCUGUCUAGACCGAGGACUGCGUCUUUUGACUAGGAUGUUGGCAUAAUGAUCUUAAGCCACCCCUCUUUAACCACCCAACCAAAACAAAAAGAUGAAAGAAAAGCCCGGGCAGCAGAAAUAGCUAGUGAAGAAGUUACUUAGCUAAAUU
This 657-nucleotide ribosomal RNA is filed under the name Debaryomyces hansenii. Its description in RNAcentral is "LSU rRNA". The stretch from base 1 to 582 matches the Rfam family "Eukaryotic large subunit ribosomal RNA", at positions 65 to 664 of the family's 3401-position model. Lineage: Eukaryota; Fungi; Ascomycota; Pichiomycetes; Serinales; Debaryomycetaceae. The record is from RNAcentral.